GAUGAACGCUGGCGGCGUGCCUAAUACAUGCAAGUCGAGCGAACAGACGAGGAGCUUGCUCCUCUGACGUUAGCGGCGGACGGGUGGGUAACACGUGGAUAACCUACCUAUAAGACUGGGAUAACUUCGGGAAACCGGAGCUAAUACCGGAUAAUAUAUUGAACCGCAUGGUUCAAUAGUGAAAGACGGUUUUGCUGUCACUUAUAGAUGGAUCCGCGCCACAUUAGCUAGUUGGUAAGGUAACGGCUUACCAAGGCAACGAUGCGUAGCCGACCUGAGAGGGUGAUCGGCCACACUGGAACUGAGACACGGUCCAGACUCCUACGGGAGGCAGCAGUAGGGAAUCUUCCGCAAUGGGCGAAAGCUUGACGGAGCAACGCCGCGUGAGUGAUGAAGGUCUUCGGAUCGUAAAACUCUGUUAUUAGGGAAGAACAAAUGUGUAAGUAACUAUGCACGUCUUGACGGUACCUAAUCAGAAAGCCACGGCUAACUACGUG
RNAcentral lists this ribosomal RNA (497 nucleotides) under uncultured bacterium. Its description in RNAcentral is "partial 16S ribosomal RNA". It matches the Rfam family "Bacterial small subunit ribosomal RNA", at positions 28 to 507 of the family's 1533-position model. The record is from RNAcentral.